Molecule: ribosomal RNA, 1434 nt
Filed under: Triticum aestivum (bread wheat)
Lineage: Eukaryota; Viridiplantae; Streptophyta; Magnoliopsida; Poales; Poaceae
Description: partial small subunit ribosomal RNA
Source: RNAcentral
AUGGCUUCCCUGGCGUCCUCAGCUUCUGGCGACCUCAACCCGUUCGCCGUCCUUGAGCCAUCCACCGCCGCAGCCCUCCGCCAUGUCCCAAUUCAUGACCACAUCCUCAUCACCCUCGACCUACACACUCCCUCCUUCUCCACCUGGCGUACGUAUUUCUCUUUGACGUUCCGCGAGUUCGGCAUCCGCGACCACGUCGACGGAUCGGUGGAUGCCAUGGCCAUGCAGCAUGAUGUCCACUGGCUAGCUGUGGAUGCCACCAUCGUCAAGUGGCUCUAUCGCACGGUGUCUCGCGAGAUUCUCUCGCACAUCAUCCGCGACAACGACACCGCGCUGGGCGCCUGGGCCUCCAUCUGCCAGCUCUUCCUCGACAAUCGUCUCCAGCGCCAGGUACUGUUAACCACCGAGUUCUACAGCCUGACGCAGGAUGGGAUGGGGCUGUUCGACUACUGCUUGCGCCUCAAGGUCCUCGCCGACGAGCUGCGUGAUGUGGGUGCGGCCGUCUCCGACGCCACCAUGCUCACGAAUCUCAUUCGUGGGCUGGGUCCCGACUACGCCAACGCCGCCUCCAACCUCAACCUGCUGACGGAGCCAACGUUCGCGCGUGCCGUCAACUACCUACGCCUCGAGGAACGGCGCAUGCGGCACGCUUCGCUGCAGCGCGCCCAGACAGCCCUGGCCGUCGGCACCACGCGCGCUCCGGCCGCGCCCAACCCCGUCCCCGCGCCCGCGGCCCCUCCGGCGGCCGCCUCUCCACCCGGCAACACCCGCAAGAAGAAACGCGGGAACGACGGGCGUCCCCGCUCCUCCGGCCAGACUUCGGCCGGGCCUCGUCCACCAGCUCCGCCGGCUGCACCGGCGCCGUGGUUCGGCGGGGUCAACCCCUGGACGGGCGUGGUGCAUGCCUGGGCCAUGCCCCCGACGCGCGCGCCGCAUCCCGGCAUCCUCGGCCCGCGGCCCGCGGGUCAUCAGGCGCUGCUCGCCGCGCCCCAGCCCGACGGGGUCCCUCCUCCGCCGCCCUCUUCGUGGCCGCCGGCGCCUGCCUCCUCCUGGACGGGUGCUUCUUCGUCCACCUACGACCCCGCCCUCCUUUCUGCACUUCAGCAGGCCCCGCCGCCGAGCGCCUACCCCGGGAACGGCGACUGGUUCAUGGACACCGGGGCCUCCUCUCAUAUGGCGUCGCACCCUAGUAUCCUCUCCCACUCCCGUCCCUUUCCCACCUCCACCCGCAUCAUCUUCGGUGACGGCUCUUCUCUCCCCAUCACCCACCGCGGUGGCCUCUCCCUCCCUUCCUCUGGUGCUCCUGUUCGCUUAUAUGAUGUUCUUGUCUCACCGCAUCUCAUUACCAAUUUAGUUUCUGUUCGUGCUCUCACUCGCCAGAACCCGGUUACAGUUGAAUUUGACGCCUUUGGUUUCUCUGUCAAGGACCUCUAG